GACGAACGCUGGCGGCGUGCUUAACACAUGCAAGUCGAACGGAAAGGCCCUGCUUUUGUGGGGUGCUCGAGUGGCGAACGUGUGAGUAACACGUGAGUAACCUGCCCUUGACUUUGGGAUAACGUCAGGAAACUGGGGCUAAUACCGGAUAGGAGCUCCUGCUGCAUGGGGGGGGUUGGAAAGUUUCGGCGGUUGGGGAUGGACUCGCGGCUUAUCAGCUUGUUGGUGGGGUAGUGGCUUACCAAGGCUUUGACGGGUAGCCGGCGUGAGAGGGUGACCGGCCACAUUGGGACUGCGGUACGGCCCAGACUCCUACGGGAGGCAGCAGUGGGGAAUAUUGCACAAUGGGCGGAAGCCUGAUGCAGCAACGCCGCGUGCGGGAUGACGGCCUUCGGGUUGUAAACCGCUUUCGCCUGUGACGAAGCGUGAGUGACGGUAAUGGGUAAAGAAGCACCGGCUAACUACGUG
This 468-nucleotide ribosomal RNA is filed under the name uncultured bacterium. Its description in RNAcentral is "partial 16S ribosomal RNA". It matches the Rfam family "Bacterial small subunit ribosomal RNA", at positions 28 to 507 of the family's 1533-position model. The record is from RNAcentral.